UAGGGAAUCUUCCGCAAUGGGCGAAAGCCUGACGGAGCAACGCCGCGUGAGUGAUGAAGGUCUUCGGAUCGUAAAACUCUGUUAUUAGGGAAGAACAAAUGUGUAAGUAACUAUGCACGUCUUGACGGUACCUAAUCAGAAAGCCACGGCUAACUACGUGACAGCAGCCGCGGUAAUAAGUAGGUGGCAAGCGUUAUCCGGAAUUAUUGGGCGUAAAGCGCGCGUAGGCGGUUUUUUAAGUCUGAUGUGAAAGCCCACGGCUCAACCGUGGAGGGUCAAUGGAAACUGGAAAACUUGAGUGCAGAAGAGGAAAGUGGAAUUCCAUGGGUAGCGGUGAAAUGCGCAGAGAUAUGGAGGAACACCAGUGGCGAAGGCGACUUUCUGGUCUGUAACUGACGCUGAUGUGCGAAAGCGUGGGGAUCAAACAGG
RNAcentral lists this ribosomal RNA (429 nucleotides) under Actinomycetes bacterium. RNAcentral describes it as "Actinobacteria bacterium partial 16S ribosomal RNA". It matches the Rfam family "Bacterial small subunit ribosomal RNA", at positions 355 to 776 of the family's 1533-position model. The record is from RNAcentral. Lineage: Bacteria; Bacillati; Actinomycetota; Actinomycetes.